RNAcentral lists this ribosomal RNA (393 nucleotides) under bacterium enrichment culture. RNAcentral's name for it is "bacterial SSU rRNA". It matches the Rfam family "Bacterial small subunit ribosomal RNA", at positions 521 to 916 of the family's 1533-position model. The record is from RNAcentral.
UAAUACGGAGGAUCCGAGCGUUAUCCGGAUUUAUUGGGUUUAAAGGGUGCGUAGGCGGAAUAAUAAGUCAGUUGUGAAAGUUUGCGGCUCAACCGUAAAAUUGCAGUUGAUACUGUUAUUCUUGAGUGUACAUAAGGUAGGCGGAAUUCGUGGUGUAGCGGUGAAAUGCUUAGAUAUCACGAAGAACUCCAAUUGCGAAGGCAGCUUACCGGGGUACAACUGACGCUGAGGCACGAAAGUGUGGGUAUCAAACAGGAUUAGAUACCCUGGUAGUCCACACAGUAAACGAUGAAUACUCGCUGUUUGCGAUAUACCGCAAGCGGCCAAGCGAAAGCAUUAAGUAUUCCACCUGGGGAGUACGCCGGCAACGGUGAAACUCAAAUGAAUUGACGG